RNAcentral lists this ribosomal RNA (630 nucleotides) under Triticum aestivum (bread wheat). Its description in RNAcentral is "partial small subunit ribosomal RNA". The record is from RNAcentral. Lineage: Eukaryota; Viridiplantae; Streptophyta; Magnoliopsida; Poales; Poaceae.
AUGGAGUCUCCAGCAGGAGAGGCGCUGAUUCUGCUGGGUCGGCCGGCCGCGCGGUGUGAGUGUGGGGAAGAUGGAGAGACGGCGAGUGGAGGAGUGGCUGCCGGAGAAGGUGAGAAGAAGGAGACGCGGCGCGAGGCCUCUCGGCCCGCGCGCCGGGGGGUCAACAGGGUCGUCUUCGAGCGCUUCACGAAGCGGGCCGUCAAGACGGUGGUGCUGUCGCAGAAAGAGGACAGGGGCUCGAGGAGGGCGACGUGGCGCCGCGCCACCUGCUGCUCGGCCUCGUCGCCGAGGACCGCUCCAUGGGGGGUUCCUCUCCUCCAGGAUCACCGUCGAGCCCGAGCGCGAGGAGUGCCGCAGCCGCCCAGAAGGCGUCCAGGCUCGACACAGACAUGCCCUUCGACAGGAGCUGCAGGUGCGUCUUUGAGGUGGCCGUCGAACUGUCCAGGAACAUUGGCUGCAGCUUCAUCUCCCCCGAGCACCUCACCAUCACGCUCUUCAGUCUCGACCAUCCCACCACCAACAAUCUGGUCAGAAGGUCCAGGAUCUCCUUGUAUAUCAUCUGCAAAGACUACAAGUUCUUCCUCGGCCUGCUGUAAGCCAUGGUUCCCCAUCUUUCUUCUCCCCUCUUGA